CUUUUAAACAUGUAGACAUAUACAUACGUCUAUCUGGCAUCCUACAUGACCAUUCUAUGUCCCAUGUGGCAUAUUAUGUCACGUAGGAUGUCGGUAUGUCUACUUGUUUAAUUUACUACUUGAAGGACAUAAAUAUCAGUUGAUGACAAAUCGUCUCUUUGUAGGAGGAGCAAGAGGAUAUUGUAAAGAGAAGAUCAUCUCCAAAUGAAGGCCUUAAUUUCCAUGAAAUUAAAGAGAUGAAGUAUCUU
This 248-nucleotide long non-coding RNA is filed under the name Solanum tuberosum (potato). RNAcentral describes it as "long non-coding RNA (STUB_LNC001095)". Lineage: Eukaryota; Viridiplantae; Streptophyta; Magnoliopsida; Solanales; Solanaceae. The record is from RNAcentral.